Molecule: ribosomal RNA, 202 nt
Filed under: uncultured bacterium
Lineage: Bacteria
Description: partial 16S ribosomal RNA
Rfam family: Bacterial small subunit ribosomal RNA
Source: RNAcentral
UACGAAGGGGGCUAGCGUUGCUCGGAAUUACUGGGCGUAAAGCGCACGUAGGCGGCUUUCUAAGUCGGGGGUGAAAUCCUGGAGCUCAACUCCAGAACUGCCUUCGAUACUGGAGAGCUUGAGUCCGGGAGAGGUGAGUGGAACUGCGAGUGUAGAGGUGAAAUCGUAGAUAUUCGCAAGAACACCGUGGCGAAGGCGGCUC